CCUACGGGAGGCAGCAGUGAGGAAUAUUGGUCAAUGGGCGCAAGCCUGAACCAGCCAAGUCGCGUGUGGGAUGACGGUCCUAUGGAUUGUAAACCUCUUUUGUCAGGGAGCAAGGCCCGCCACGUGUGGCGGGAAGGUGAGUACCCGAAGAAAAAGCAUCGGCUAACUCCGUGCCAGCAGCCGCGGUACUACGGAGGAUGCGAGCGUUAUCCGGUUUUAUUGGGUUUAACGGGUGCGUAGGCGGAAGGUUAAGUCAUCGGUAAAAUGUCGGUGCUCAACACCGGCCUGCCGUUGAAACUGGUCGUCUUGAGUGAGCGAGAAGUAGGCGGAAUGCGUGGUGUAGCGGUGAAAUGCAUAGAUAUCACGCAGAACUCCGAUUGCGAAGGCAGCAUACCGGCGCUCAACUGACGCUGAGGCACGAAAGCGUGGGGAUCGAACAGGAUUAGAUACCCCAGUAGUC
This 460-nucleotide ribosomal RNA is filed under the name uncultured bacterium. Its description in RNAcentral is "partial 16S ribosomal RNA". It matches the Rfam family "Bacterial small subunit ribosomal RNA", at positions 338 to 795 of the family's 1533-position model. The record is from RNAcentral.